GUGAGGAAUAUUGGUCAAUGGGCGGGAGCCUGAACCAGCCAAGUCGCGUGAAGGAAGAAGGAUCUAUGGUUCGUAAACUUCUUUUGCAGGGGAAUAAAGUGCAGGACGUGUCCUGUUUUGUAUGUACCCUGAGAAUAAGGAUCGGCUAACUCCGUGCCAGCAGCCGCGGUAAUACGGAGGAUCCGAGCGUUAUCCGGAUGUAUGUGGUUUAAAGGGUGCGUAGGUGGUUUGAUAAGUCAGCGGUGAAAGUUUGCAGCUUAACUGUAAAAAUGCCGUUGAAACUGUCGGACUUGAGUGUAAAUGAGGUAGGCGGAAUGCGUGGUGUAGCGGUGAAAUGCAUAGAUAUCACGCAGAACUCCGAUUGCGAAGGCAGCUUACUAAGCUACAACUGACACUGAAGCACGAAAGCGUGGGGAUCAAACAGGAUUAGAUACCUCUGUAGUCC
Molecule: ribosomal RNA, 445 nt
Filed under: uncultured bacterium
Lineage: Bacteria
Description: partial 16S ribosomal RNA
Rfam family: Bacterial small subunit ribosomal RNA
Source: RNAcentral